Molecule: long non-coding RNA, 247 nt
Filed under: Hordeum vulgare
Lineage: Eukaryota; Viridiplantae; Streptophyta; Magnoliopsida; Poales; Poaceae
Description: long non-coding RNA (HVUL_LNC004320)
Source: RNAcentral
CUUUUGGAAAAAUAUGAUUUUGGUUUAAUUAUCUAUUAGCACUACUCCAGUUUACACUCGAGUUGUAUGCACACUUCUGGGAGUAAGAUUGCAUGGUCCAUUUUUGUAGGGUCGUAUUUUGUAACUGUAACUUAUCACAAUCACAGUUCUAACUUUAUUGUUUAAUUCAACAUUUCUAUUAGCAAUUAGUUUUGCUUGUUUCACCUCACUUCAUUAAAUUCCACUAGUUUAAAUUUCUUAAUUCUAC